This is a long non-coding RNA of Hypanus sabinus (Atlantic stingray), 2467 nucleotides long. RefSeq lists it as uncharacterized. The record is from RefSeq and is a predicted model, not a curated record. The transcript is spliced from 4 exons. NCBI's taxonomy places the organism in Eukaryota, Metazoa, Chordata, Chondrichthyes, Myliobatiformes, Dasyatidae.
CCCACACCGAUCUCUACCCCAGAUUAAACUCCACCCACUGAUCUCCUUUAACCAGGAAUUCUUGGUUCCACAGCGAUCGGAGCAGACCGAAUGCCUAAAAGUUAGGAAAGGGGACAGUCUUCCGCCUGUGGUUCACAUCAUGGAAGAACUUGGUAGAGAUUGAUCAGGUCUAUGCGAAAGGUCUUCAGUUCCACCAUGAAGGAGAGAUCUAAAAGGAAGACAUUUAUUCUCAUCAUAGAUGGAAGCAGGUCCUAUACAAGUCAAACUUGUGUUGGAAAUGUACUAAUAGUUACUCAGAGAUGGGCUGGAUAACGCAGAGAGGGCCUGAAUCCACUUUCAUAACUUCUUUAUACUUGGCAUGCUGCUUCAGAACUUGAGACGAAUAAUCCUCAACGAUACAGAUAAAAUGACCCUUGAAAUCCAAUUUUCCUCUCCGACAUGCUUCCAUGAUCAAAAGGUUUCUCACCUGAUAUCGAUGAAAACACAGAAUAACCGGACGUGGCCUAGAGCCCUACUCAGGCUUGACCAGAAAUGUACGGUGAGCUCUGUCUAACUCGGGUGGGGUCGAAAGAAUAUCCUUCCCACAACUCUCACAGAGUGAAGAAAAACUAUUCAACAGGAGAUCCACCCUCGAUAGCCUCCGGCAGACCGAGGACUCGUAGAUUAUGACGUCUGCUCCGACCUUCGAGAUCAGUUACUUUGGAUGUUAACUUGGUGUUAUGCUCACUCAGAUUGCAACAGACGGCUUCCAGCUGCUGAACACGACAUUUUAAUUCUUCGGUAGUUGACUCACGAUGAGAGGGACGUUCGGCAUGAUUCUCCACUCUGGCGUAAAUUUGAUCCGAUUUUGACUCCAACAAACUGAAUGAAGACUUAUAUUUAGACUUAAGUUCAGAUACAAUCUCUUGUCGGUGCUGUUCCAAAAUGGAGAUAAUCUCGGCAGAGGAACCAGAGACAGUCGCAGUCGUAGAGACUUCUUUUUUCCCAGAUUUGGAAAACAUUGUCGCCAUUGUCGGACAGAUGUAUUCGCAGGCAGGUAGAAGAGCAAAAAAUUUAACAGACUGGAGUGAAAAAAAGGAGAUAAAGAGUGCAGAGGUAAGAAAUGAAAUGGAGCAAUAGUUUUAAGCGACUGAACUAUUGCCAUCUUACCAGAAGUGAUUAAGAAGUAUUUACCACAGUUACAGGAAUGUCAGAAUGGCCAGAAACAGAAUCAAGUUUAAUAUGUCAUGAAAUUUGUUAUCUCUGCAGCAGCAGCAGUACAAUGCAAUACAUGAUAAAACUGUGAAUUAGAGUAAGUAUAUAUAGGUAUAUCAAAUAGUUAAAUAAGUAGUACAAAAACAUGAAUUUUAAAAAGUUGUGAGGUAGUGUUCAUGGUUUCAGUGUCCAUUCAAAAAUCAGAUGGCAGAGGGAAAGAAGCUGGUCCUGAGUCACUGAGUGUGUGGCUUCAGGCUUCUGAACCUCCUUUCUGAUGGUAACAAUGAGAAGAGGGCAUGUCCUCAGUGGCGGGGGUCCUUAAUGAUGGAUGCCACCUUUUUGAGGUACUGCACCCUGGAUGCUACUGAGGCUAGUACCCAUGAUAGAGCUGACUAAUUUUAUCACUAUCUGCAACUUACUUUGAUCCUAUGCACCACAACCCCCAUUCCAGGUGAUGAUGCAGCCAGUCAGGAUGCUUUCCACAGUACAUUUGUAGAAAUUUUAUAGUGUUUAUGUAUGAUGCAAUUUCCACUCAGGAUACAUUGUGCUUAUAGUUGCUGACACAGUGCUUCGAAACUCAUGGAUCGUGGGAAGAGUCAUUUAAGACUUUUCAGACAGAAGAGGAGUUUGUAGCAUGUGUGCAUCAAGACCAAGACCAGCUGUUUGGACAGACUAUAAAUCAAGAUCUGUCUUCUGCAGGAGGCAGAGGUUUGAGAAGCUACAGCUCUAGAAGCUUCAUAACCUUGACUUGACAGAGAGUGGUGGCAAAGGUCUCUGUACUGGGCUAAGUGCUGGUAACCUCUGGCCUAGAUGACUGUUGCAUGGCUUGACUGGAAGAAGAAAGAGGACAUUUGUAUAAAUGUUCAGAUAUUUGUCCUUUAAGAUUUUGUGUCUCCUAUUUUAGUAGUAUGUAGUUAUAAUUUUUAUUAUGUAAUCAUCAAAGGACUGAGAUUUGGAGCCAUAUAUCUAUUUUCUGUCUGUAUUGUAUUUUGUGGCAUGUUUAAUAUGGUAAUCUGUCAUGUGGUUUGGGAUAUGGUAUAAGCAAUUGAGCACAGUUAUGUACUUACGCUUUGUUUUAGAUAGUUGUUUCAUUUCGUCUAGGGGGAGGGUUUGAGCGACACAGAGUGAUUUUUUUUGUUGUUGACCAUUUAAACAUGUAUCGAACACUAAUUCUGAUACUCCUAAUUAGAAUGCUUAGUUACACUAAUUUGAAGCUAUAUCGCUAAUUUAGUUUCAUUAGAUUUUUAUUACUACAAGAUCGUUCAUCUUUGCU